Long non-coding RNA from Oncorhynchus tshawytscha (Chinook salmon), 536 nucleotides. The record is from Ensembl. NCBI's taxonomy places the organism in Eukaryota, Metazoa, Chordata, Actinopteri, Salmoniformes, Salmonidae.
GAACGGUGAACAGCAGAGGGAGAACAGGGAACAGCAGAGGGAGAACGGGGAACAGCAGAGGGAGAACGGGGAACAGCAGAGGGAGAACAGGGAACAGCAGAGGGAGAAGGGGGAGCAGCAGAGGGAGAACAGUGAACAGCAGAGGGAGAACGGUGAACAGCAGAGGGAGAUCGGGGAACAGCAGAGGGAGAACAGUGAACAGCAGAGGGAGAACAGUGAACAGCAGAGGGAGAACAGUGAACAGCAGAGGGAGAAUGGUGAACAGUAGAGGGAGAACAGGGAACAGCAGAGGGAAAACAGGGAACAGCAGAGGGAGAACAGGGAACAGCAGAGGGAGAACAGGGAACAGCAGAGGGAGAACAGUGAACAGCAGAGGGAGAACAGUGAACAGCAGAGGGAGAACAGUGAACAGCAGAGGGAGAACAGUGAACAGCAGAGGGAGAACAGGGAACAGCAGAGGGAGAACAGUGAACAGCAGAGGGAGAACAGUGAACAGCAGAGGGAGAACAGUGAACAGUAGAGGGAGAACAGGGAAC